CAUCUUAAUCGGAUGUUGCACAGUUGGUUAGAGGGAGAAAUUGGAGAGGGUGAACGGAUUAGAAGAAUACAAUGGCUUGUGUCCACGUUCAACCAAAACGGAGAAGUGCACGAAUGGGUGGAUAUUAAGACCGACCAAGACGCUCGUAGGAUGAUGCAUUACAUGUUCAAAAUUGUUUUGAUGGUUGUAAUCGCAUAGUUUUUGUAUUCUAGUUGUUUUAAUUGUUUGUGUUAUUUUAAUGGGUGGAUAUUAAGACCGACCAAGACGCUCGUAGGAUGAUGCAUUACAUGUUCAAAAUUGUUUUGAUGGUUGUAAUCGCAUAGUUUUUGUAUUCUAGUUGUUUUAAUUGUUUGUGUUAUUUUUUAAGAACAACUGUCUUUUCGUCACAGACGUCUACUAUGAAGUAAAUUUAGUUGUCCAUACAUUGCAACAAAGGUACUUUGAAAUAAAUUUAGUUUUCCAUA
RNAcentral lists this long non-coding RNA (464 nucleotides) under Lathyrus oleraceus (garden pea). RNAcentral's name for it is "Pisum sativum (pea) long non-coding RNA (PSAT_LNC033403)". Lineage: Eukaryota; Viridiplantae; Streptophyta; Magnoliopsida; Fabales; Fabaceae. The record is from RNAcentral.